AUACGGAGGGUGCAAGCGUUGUUCGGAAUUACUGGGCGUAAAGCGCGCGUAGGUGGUCUGUUAUGUCAGAUGUGAAAGUCCACGGCUCAACCGUGGAAGUGCAUUUGAAACUGGCAGACUUGAGUACUGGAGGGGGUAGUGGAAUUCCCGGUGUAGAGGUGAAAUUCGUAGAUAUCGGGAGGAAUACCGGUGGCGAAGGCGGCUACCUGGCCAGAUACUGACACUGAGGUGCGAAAGCGUGGGGAGCGAACAGGAUUAGAUACCCCGGUAGUCC
Molecule: ribosomal RNA, 274 nt
Filed under: uncultured bacterium
Lineage: Bacteria
Description: partial 16S ribosomal RNA
Rfam family: Bacterial small subunit ribosomal RNA
Source: RNAcentral